Molecule: ribosomal RNA, 83 nt
Filed under: Streptococcus sp. HMSC072D05
Lineage: Bacteria; Bacillati; Bacillota; Bacilli; Lactobacillales; Streptococcaceae
Source: RNAcentral
UUAAGUGACGAUAGCCUAGGAGAUACACCUGUACCCAUGCCGAACACAGCAGUUAAGCCCUAGAACGCCGGAAGUAGUUGGGG